RNAcentral lists this ribosomal RNA (479 nucleotides) under uncultured Planctomycetota bacterium. RNAcentral describes it as "bacterial SSU rRNA". It matches the Rfam family "Bacterial small subunit ribosomal RNA", at positions 364 to 833 of the family's 1533-position model. The record is from RNAcentral. Lineage: Bacteria; Pseudomonadati; Planctomycetota.
UUUCGCAAUGCCCGAAAGGGUGACGAAGCGACGCCGCGUGUGGGAAGAAGGCCUUCGGGUUGUAAACCACUGUCGGGAGUUAGGAAAUGUAAGGGUGCUAAUAGUAUCCUUACUUGACUAAGGCUCCGGAGGAAGCCACGGCUAACUCUGUGCCGGCAGCCGCGGUAAUACAGAGGCGGCAAGCGUUGUUCGGAAUUAUUGGGCGUAAAGAGCACGUAGGCGGCCUUGUAAGUCAGUUGUGAAAGCCUUCUGCUUAACGGAAGAACAGCAGCUGAUACUGCAAGGCUAGAGUGCGGAAGGGGAGAGUGGAACUUCUGGUGGAGCGGAGAAAUGCGUAGAUAUCAGAAGGAACACCGGCGGCGAAGGCGACUCUCUGGUCCGUAAUUGACGCUGAGUGUGCGAAAGCUAGGGGAGCAAACGGGAUUAGAUACCCCGGUAGUCCUAGCCGUAAACGAUGGGCACUAAGUAGAGGGGUUUUA